RNAcentral lists this long non-coding RNA (781 nucleotides) under Cyanistes caeruleus (blue tit). RNAcentral describes it as "lncRNA (ENSCCEG00000011642.1)". Lineage: Eukaryota; Metazoa; Chordata; Aves; Passeriformes; Paridae. The record is from RNAcentral.
CCUUGGAUACAGAAAUGGAAUUGCACCUAUCUCUGUAUGUUUUUUAGGGGGUAAAAAACCCCAGAUUGAAAAACUAUUUUUGUUGCUUUAUUUCUCUAAGAGUAUCUUGUAGUCGCCUAAAAUACUGGUUUUAGACCUUUGUUCCUUAUCUGAAAUAUAUUCACAGUUCAUGGUGUGAAUUGUCUUAGUUGAAAAUACUGUUUAUUUUAUUGUGUGAAACAGAACUAAUUAUGCAAUAAGUAUUUAUAAUUUUUUCAGGUUCCCAAAUACAUUGCUGAGGAGCCAAAUGGUAGAAAUGUAGAGGUCUAAAACUAAGGAAAUGUGUGUGGAAGAAAUGGAAUCUCAAAAGCCUUAAGGCUGCCACAGUAAAUCAUACUAGUAAAGAUGCUACUGCUAAAAUAAAAGCUGGUGCAUCUGCCAGUUCUGCAGCCGCCAGUCAGUCUUGUAAAUAUUUUAAACACACAGUGCAUGUGACCAUAGAUUUUUGGAAUAAAACUUAUGGUCCCCUGUAAAAUCUGAAUUGUAAACAUAAAUUAUUACUAAUAUUUUUGGAAAGUAUUUAAGAAGCUGUUAAUGCUCCAUCUUGGUUUGAUUUAUCAGUUUUCUUAUACUAAUGAUAAUGACUCUUUUUUAUCUAGUACCUGGAUCGCAUUUUCAGUAUGUCUUGCAUUGUAGUAUCUUUUACUCCCUUGUCUUCACUAUCUAAAUGGAUCAGACCUUUUUUUUUAUUCUUUUAGUCUAGCCUUCUGUUCUUUCUCAUGGCCACUAUUUUAACUUCUUU